CUAUCGUUGCAAUAGUAGGGGAUUGUGGAAAGAGCACUAACGUGUGUAUCUGUGAGUGUGUGAGAGAGAGAUAGAAAGGAGUAAAAAUCUGUUUACUCACUCUGGAAAGGCUCUGAAGAAAACAUACAUAGUGACGAUGUUGACGGUAUAAAGGUGGUCAUCAACUACGACUAUCCCCAGCAAACGGAAGAUUACGUGCAUCGCAUCGGACGUACCGGACGCUCGAAUGCCACCGGCGAAGCAUACACAUUCUUCACCCAUAACGAGCGUAAGAUGGCCAAAGAGCUGAUCAGCAUUCUCGAGGAAGCGCACCAAACCGUAC
Anopheles maculipalpis is the source of this 322-nucleotide long non-coding RNA. RefSeq lists it as uncharacterized. The transcript has 2 exons. Lineage: Eukaryota; Metazoa; Arthropoda; Insecta; Diptera; Culicidae. The record is from RefSeq and is a predicted model, not a curated record.